This 253-nucleotide ribosomal RNA is filed under the name uncultured bacterium. RNAcentral describes it as "partial 16S ribosomal RNA". It matches the Rfam family "Bacterial small subunit ribosomal RNA", at positions 524 to 776 of the family's 1533-position model. The record is from RNAcentral.
UACGGGGGGGGCGAGCGUUGUUCGGAAUUACUGGGCGUAAAGGGCUCGUAGGCGGCCAACUAAGGCAGACGUGAAAUCCCUCGGCUUAACCGGGGAACUGCGUCUGAUACUGGAUGGCUGGAGUUCGGUAGGGGAGACUGGAAUUCCUGGUGUAGCGGUGAAAUGCGCAGAUAUCAGGAGGAACACCGGUGGCGAAGGCGGGGCUCUGGGCCGAUACUGACGCUGAGGAGCGAAAGCGUGGGGAGCGAACAGG